ACAAACCCUAAUUUCCUCUCUCCAUCCAAACCCUAACCCCGAGCAACCUUAGUUUUCAGCAACCACAGCCAACAAUCACAAAGAUAAAUAACCUCCUCUUUUUCACUACCUAAAGUAUUAAGCUUUUGAGGCUCUAGACUCAUCAUCAAGCUAGUCCAUUUAAAUAUCAUAUUCAAUUAUUCAUUUCUUUAAAAAAAAUUCAUUCAAUUAAUUAAGUUCUGAUCAGGGCCUCUACUGUGGGUGUCGGCCGCAAAGCCUUACCCAGUUCGUAAGUUCUUUUCCUUUUGUUUUAUUUUGAAUUUUAUUUCGAUUUUAUCAUUUUAUUAGAUCUCAUUUCAUUUUCUGGAACCUUUUGUUAUAUUUUUCUUACUUUAAAGCUAUUUACAAGCCAACCUAGCCGAUGAUCUAAAAAGGGUUGGAUCUCUAAUGUGAGAUCGGAUAACCUUUGGAUCAUAUUUUGAUUGGACCCUAAUCUACCGGAUUGCGAUUAAGUAGUGAAGUACAAAAUUUUGCUGCCGAUCUUGUCUGAGAUCGGUCUCGAAUGGAUUGUACAAAGAUUUAUUAGAAGGUUUUUGAACAUCAAAAUAAUGUUUUUAAUGGAUUUUUGAGUUUCACCCUAAUUCUACAUUUUAAGGUUGUAACCUUAUAUAACUUUUCCCUUUUAGAAAAUAUCUCUUUGUUUUUUUAGGGUGUGGUUUGCCUGAAGGUACAACUUUAAACUUUAAACAAUCAAAGUAAGACAACAACUCCAAACUUUACUAUAAGAUGCAAUUUUAGUAUUGAAAUUUUUUUAGGAGCGUAUGAGAAAAGUUUAUAUAAAGUUACAACUUUAAACUAUAGAAUUAGGGCGAACCUAAAAAAUCCAUCGAAAAUGGUGUUUUGAUGUUGAAAAACCCUCUAAUUGAUCAUCUCGAUAUUGAGAUAUAUGGGGAAAAAAAAUUCGAAUCUCAAGAACAGUGCAUCUUG
Molecule: long non-coding RNA, 966 nt
Filed under: Amborella trichopoda
Lineage: Eukaryota; Viridiplantae; Streptophyta; Magnoliopsida; Amborellales; Amborellaceae
Description: long non-coding RNA (ATRI_LNC005393)
Source: RNAcentral